UACGGAGGAUGCGAGCGUUAUCCGGAUUUAUUGGGUUUAAAGGGUGCGUAGGCGGACGCUUAAGUCAGCGGUAAAAUUGUGGGGCUCAACCUCGUCGAGCCGUUGAAACUGGGUGUCUUGAGUGGGCGAGAAGUACGCGGAAUGCGUGGUGUAGCGGUGAAAUGCAUAGAUAUCACGCAGAACUCCGAUUGCGAAGGCAGGGUACCGGCGCCCAACUGACGCUGAAGCACGAAGGCGUGGGUAUCGAACAGG
This 252-nucleotide ribosomal RNA is filed under the name uncultured bacterium. RNAcentral describes it as "partial 16S ribosomal RNA". It matches the Rfam family "Bacterial small subunit ribosomal RNA", at positions 524 to 776 of the family's 1533-position model. The record is from RNAcentral.